RNAcentral lists this long non-coding RNA (3817 nucleotides) under Hordeum vulgare. Its description in RNAcentral is "long non-coding RNA (HVUL_LNC009458)". Lineage: Eukaryota; Viridiplantae; Streptophyta; Magnoliopsida; Poales; Poaceae. The record is from RNAcentral.
UCCGCGUUGUUCAGCUAAAAAUUUGGCGCGAAAAAAGAGCCAUCCGCGCGCCAUGCGAGCAGAAAAUAGAAGGGAGUGCACGCGUCAAAAAAACUCUACCCCAAAUCCCCAAAUCUCAGCCCACCCCCCCGCGACCUAGACACCCACAACGCCGCCUCCCAACCCACAACACCGCUUCCCCAUCCCGACCCCGCCGCCACCCCAUCCCUGACGGCACCCCAACCCACCGCACCGCCUCCCUGACCGCCCCGCCGCACCGACCCACGGCGCCGCCGCCCCGAUCGCAUCGCAGCCCCGACUGUGCCGCCACAGCCCCAACCCACCACGCGAGUGCCCCGACCGCGCCGUCCCCGACCCACGGCAUCUCCGCCCCUCCACACUCUACACGACGACGUCAGCUACAGGUCCUGCGCACCACCCUUUGAGGAGCAGCAGCAUCGUCCACUCCGUGGAUCUGAAGUUGCCCCUCGCGCUCCCGCUUGGGCCCUUCCCGGGUCCUCAUUCGUUGGCCUUCGAUCUCAUCCCGCCGUGGAUAUCACGCCUUGGUCUUCUUCUUUUCAGGCAGGUGAGCCCUGAGGUCCCAAUCGAUCCUAGAUGCUCUCGCUAGCUGAUGCCUGUUGCUGGUGCUGAUAGCUGUUGCUGAAGUGCUGAUAGCUGCUGCUGCUGCUAAUUUGUGUUGUUAACUGCUAGUAAUUAUUACAGUUUAGAGUUUAGUACUACUAGAGUAGCAGGAGUUUGUGAUCUUGCUGUUAAUUCGCUGCUGCUAGUUGCUGCUGAUAUUAGUUUACUGCCGGUAGGUGCUGCUGUUAAUUUGCUGCUGCUAGCUAGCUACCGUUGCUUGGCUGCUUCUGUUACCUAUGGCUACUAGCUGCUAAUUUGUGUUCUUGUUCACUUUGUCUUUUAUUUGUUAUUUUUUGUGUAAUAAAAUAUGAAGGAGUGGUGAGAGAGACUAUCAUGGAUCAUGGUCAUGGUACCUUCUUUUGGUUGAACUAAGCAAAAUUGGACAGUCUGGAAAAGGGAGAAGACUAUGAACCAACUAGAUAAGCUUUUUAUUACAAUUCAUAUUAUAUAUAUAUGAUGCUUCCAAAGUUUUGAAUGCUUUGCUUGCUUGCUGAUUACUGCUGUAACAUCUUGCCAUCUUCUCUAUGAUGUAUGUAGCUGCUGCCCGUGCACUGGAAGGGGAUCAGAGGACAACACACAAAGAGGAAGUGGCAAGAUAUUGGGCAGAGAACAAGGUUAUAAACUUAUAGGUAUACCUCCAUUUACAUUCUAGCAUUUUUUUGCUGCCAAACUGUAUAGCCUAUAUGGUAUAUGUUUUUUCCUGGGACCAAAUAAUUAUUUUCGGAUCUUAAAUUAGUACAAAGAAGUGAAGUUUGGGUGAUGAGUUUGAUGUUGACUGAUUCAUGUGGUAUUUUUUUUUUGUAAUAUCAGUUAUAAGUGAUUGUCUCUUGAUAAAUACUCCCUCUAUCCCAAAAUAACUAUCUCAACUUUGUACUAGCUCUAGUACAAAGUUAUACUAAGCUUAAGACAUUUAUUUUGGGACGGAGGGAGUAUGUUGUAACAAAUAAUUUUGGUACACAUUGUAAAUGAUGAGAAGUCUUUUCCAAUACAAUGCCUCAUCAUAGGGGAUAUCUCUAAAAGUAUCAUUCAUUAUAUUAUUUUUAGUCCUAUACUUUAUCUAUCUUUUUUUUCAUCUUCCAUAGUUUUUUUUUGUAAAUAUCCUACAAGAUAACUACCGGGUAUAAUAAAAAUAAAUCACCAGAAUAAUUAUCUUCUUGGCUUCUAUGAAGCUAACUCCGGAAAGAACAAUCUCUGCGCAAACACCAAGACAAAUUAAAGUUUAUCAAUUGGCACCGCCUACACAGAAAUUCUCGUUCUUUGUAUUCCACUCCCAGUAAAUAUGAUAUCAGAUAGCUUAUUAUUUAGAGAGAAAUGUAACAUAUAAUUCUUUUCAUAGCCUGGUUUAUGAUUCACGAUCAGUAUGACUCAUGUGCAAUAUUACUUUUUGUCUCUUUUAUCCAGCGAAAUAGAGAAAAUAAAUUAAAUUUUGUACGAAUAUCCCAUCAAACAGCAAAAGAAGUUUCCAGGGAGGUGAUUUCCUGUCCCUUUUUCUGCUGUAUUUUCUCCCACAGUAUGAUACACUUUCCACUUUUCUAGUUUUUGAUAAUACCCAAAUCUUGACAGGAAAUGGAUCCAGCAGCCUGUCCAACUCCAGCUACAAGAGCCAUAUAUUGAAAAAGGCAAGAUGGAGGUUGAUAGGUAACUAAUACUCUUGGAAUGAUGACCAUAAAAUAAGUGAACGCUUCUCAAAGUAUCGUUUAAUUUAAUACGCUAUUUCUGUUACAGCCGGGCAAAAACGCAAGCUGCUAUCCAAGUUAAAUGGAGAGAACAGUGUGUUUCCAAAUCAUGUCGUUCUGUGAACAUUACAGUGCUAUAUACUUGUUUUUGCAUAUUGUUAAACAAUGCAAGUUCUACACAAUAGGAAUUGCUUGCACUUGUGUAGUUACAAUAAUUAGAGAGUUGCAUGGUCUGACAAUGUAUAUGUGAUGGUUCGUUGCUCAUGUUUUUGCUGCUUGUACUGCAGGAGAACCUAGAAGGCUUGCACGUGACCAAUACAAAAUGACCUCUCCAGUAGUUCAAAACCAAGUAAGGAGGUAAUUUCAGAUUCAGUUUUAUGAGAAGUAACUAGUGAGCAUGAAAGAAAAUAGUAUAGCAAUAUUCUGCAUACUUAUUCAUCAACAUACAAUAGUUUCACAUAUGUUGAUGUGUAGUCUUACAUUGAAUGUAGCUGUGGUACUUGAAAAAUAACUUUAACCGUUUGAGAAAAUUAACUCUAUGACUUCUUAGUAUUCCUCACCCUUUUUCGACACUACUUUAUCAACAUAUGGCAACUCUCAUGUAAUAUGCAUACUCUCGUGGAUAUGAACGCAUGCGUUUGUAAGAAGUUCAAUGCUGGUCCGAUGCUUUAUUUUCUACAAAGUUGGGCUAUAUGUUCAUGGAUGCUUCAUGAUAACGAUGCAUGCAAUAAGGUUUCGUAAACUUCAUUUAAAUAAUCAGUAUGUUUUGGGUGUCUGACCUAUACAUAUAACAACACUAUCAAUCUAGUUUUUUGUACACCUUCUGUUUUUUUGGUUCUUUGCACUCAAUAGUAACUUAUAAGUAUGAACAAAUGCUAUUAUGAUAAUAUUGCUCAAACAUAUGAGUGCUUUUGCAGGGUCACAUAGUGGAAAUUAUGAAGUCGAACAUAUUAUAGCUUUUGUUAGUGGAAUGCAUGGUCAACCUGUUUUAUACAAAUGGAAGUUGAUGUCAGUUUGGUGAUCGAAGACUUGGUCUAUUCCAUAGUGUUUUGUAGGGUGAACGAACACCUAGUAUCUUAUGAACUUGGCCCAUAUUUUGUAACAUGCCACGACUUGUAUGUUGAUGUAUGUAUUUCUUUAAUGGUUGUUGCAAAAUCGGGAGAGAGAACCUAAUGGAUUUUUUAUGUGUUGAAUAAAUGCAUUGAUCAAUGGCAUCUUGUGGUGAAUACAAGAGGCCAAUUGUUGGUAUAUGUACUACAAAGUGAACAUAAACUGAAUAUUUUGAGUUUACUUUCAUGUUAAUAUAUGGUGCAUUUGGGUUUGUUCUGAAAUGUAUAACGCAGGCAGCAAAUGUGUCAGCACAAGUAUUGGAGGUUGCAAAGACUGUCGACAUAGCAUACUGACAUACAAACUUUUGGGGUAGCAAUGGUAGUUGCACUAUCUGUCGGGGUAGCACACUGUCAAGCCGUCUAUCGGGAUAACAUCGUUUGUUGCUGUAGAAAUGUCUGUCGGCAUAGAUC